CGGGCGGAGUCAUCUAUUCUCCCAUCAAAAUCAGAAUCUAUUGCAUGUAUUUUCAGGAACAAUUAAAUAUUCUUACUGGCGCACUAGGACACUAAGUAUUUUACCAUAGAGGAGAAAUUAGGGGCAACUACAUGCAACAAGGGAGCAACACUAGGAGAAGAGCGGAACCAAAAAGUCAGUAAGGUAUAGUUCCUAUGUAAGAGCUUCAGCCAAUGAACGAAAGACAUGGGUCGUGUGCCACAUCGAGUUACAGAAAUAGUCAAAAGUUGCUUGAUAGGUCUGUAAGAAAGGAUGAUAGUUCUUGAAUGGAAUAAGACUA
Molecule: long non-coding RNA, 319 nt
Organism: Lolium rigidum
Lineage: Eukaryota; Viridiplantae; Streptophyta; Magnoliopsida; Poales; Poaceae
Exons: 3
Source: RefSeq, a predicted model, not a curated record